This 475-nucleotide ribosomal RNA is filed under the name uncultured bacterium. Its description in RNAcentral is "SSU rRNA". It matches the Rfam family "Bacterial small subunit ribosomal RNA", at positions 26 to 518 of the family's 1533-position model. The record is from RNAcentral.
AGGACGAACGCUGGCGGCGUGCCUAACACAUGCAAGUGGAGCGACGACCCGGGCUUCGGCCCGGUGCAAAGCCGCGAACGGGUGAGUAACACGUGGGUAACCUGCCCUGAUGAUUGGGACAACCCGAGGAAACUCGGGCUAAUACCGAAUGUGCCCUCCGGCCUCAAGGCCGUUGGGGAAAGGAAGCUUCGGCCUCCGCAUCGGGAUGGGCCCGCGGCCCAUUAGCUUGUUGGUGAGGUAACGGCUCACCAAGGCAACGAUGGGUAGCUGGUCUGAGAGGACGAUCAGCCACACUGGGACUGAGACACGGCCCAGACUCCUACGGGAGGCAGCAGUGGGGAAUCUUGCGCAAUGGGCGAAAGCCUGACGCAGCAACGCCGCGUGGGGGAUGAAUGCCUUCGGGUUGUAACUCCUUUAGUGGAACGAAUUGACGGUACCCACAGAAAAGCCCGGCUAACUACGUGCCAGCAGCCGC